Molecule: RNA transcript, 884 nt
Organism: Lemur catta (Ring-tailed lemur)
Lineage: Eukaryota; Metazoa; Chordata; Mammalia; Primates; Lemuridae
Gene: SERP2
Gene name: stress associated endoplasmic reticulum protein family member 2
Exons: 5
Source: RefSeq, a predicted model, not a curated record
GGCGCGCCGCGCUCCGGCCGGUCGGUGCGGGAGGACGCGCGGCCGCGCCUGCCUCGGUGGCCGCGCCGGGUGGGAGCACUGCGGAGCGCUCAAGCCAUGGUGGCCAAACAGCGGAUCCGGAUGGCUAAUGAGAAGCACAGCAAAAACAUCACCCAGAGGGGGAACGUAGCCAAAACCCUGAGGCCACAAGAAGAGAAAUAUCCUGUAGGACCAUGGCUGUUGGCACUGUUUGUUUUUGUUGUCUGUGGCUCAGGUCAACCACAUAAACACUGGCCUUUCCUGGAGACUGCCAGAACUUUCUCGAAACUGUGACACCCAGAGGGGUCACUCCCCCCAACACAUGCUGAGACUGGCACGUGGGAUGUCUGAGGAAUUGGACGGCCCUGGAGGAGAGGCUGAGGCCGUGCACCUGCUCUGGAGCUCCUUCCUCAGGAUCUGAGAUGGACAGUCUGGAGAAGACGUCUCAUCAGCCAUCGGCUCCCUCAAGCUAUCUUUCAGAUCAUUCAGAGCAUAAGGAUGGGCAUGUGAGAAGGCUGGGGAAGGCCAGGGCUUUGAUUCAGCCAGUACCUGCAAGAAGCAAAAAGGCGGCAAGGAAUAGAAAAAAGCCUCAUUCUGUUGUUCCCUGAUCACGUCAUCUUGGAUGUCAGACCAAAUUGCCUUCUCACAGGACACCUUGGUGCAUCCGUGUCCUCAAGAGGAAAGGACAUUUUGCUUUUCUGUUGGCCGGAUUGGUAGCCAUGUGGGUCGUCUGUCUUUUUGGUUUCCCCUUGGUUCACUAAUGUAUGCAUGUCGCCCUCUGAAUGAUCGCUGGUUUACUUUCUACGGAUACGGUCUCUCCUCCACUGGGAAUUGGUUUUACAAAUAAAUGUCUUCGUUCAACCUUA